Molecule: unclassified non-coding RNA, 223 nt
Filed under: Hevea brasiliensis (rubber tree)
Lineage: Eukaryota; Viridiplantae; Streptophyta; Magnoliopsida; Malpighiales; Euphorbiaceae
Source: RNAcentral
GUAUGUCGAAAUGUUUUGCUUUAUUUCCGUGAUCUUGUCAUUGAUUUCAGAAAGUCGCUUCCCAGUUUGAUGGCGAUGAGAUAACCUUUUGGGAUGUAAGCGCGUAGAGAAUCUAGUAGACCCAUCACUAUCUGCUGACUGAUUCUGGCAGUCCUCCAGUAUCUCUUCAGCUUCAAAGAUUAAGUCUCUCAAAGAGGCCAUGACCGUUUUAAGAGUGGUGUGU